CAGUAGCCACGGUAAUACGAGGGGGGCAAGCGUUGUUCGGAAUUAUUGGGCGUAAAGGGUGCGUAGGCGGUUUGGCAAGUUUGGUGUGAAAUCUUCGGGCUCAACUCGAAGUCUGCAUCGAAAACUGCCGGGCUUGAGUAUGGGAGAGGUGAGUGGAAUUUCCGGUGUAGCGGUGAAAUGCGUAGAUAUCGGAAGGAACACCUGUGGCGAAAGCGGCUCACUGGACCAUUACUGACGCUGAGGCGCGAAAGCUAGGGGAGCAAACAGGAUUAGAUACCCCCGUAGUCCCUGUCUCUUAUAU
Molecule: ribosomal RNA, 301 nt
Filed under: uncultured bacterium
Lineage: Bacteria
Description: partial 16S ribosomal RNA
Rfam family: Bacterial small subunit ribosomal RNA
Source: RNAcentral